GACGAACGCUGGCGGCGUGCCUAACACAUGCAAGUCGAGCGAAUGAAGAUGCUUCGGGAAUGGUUUUAACGGCGGACGGGUGAGUAACACGUGGGCAACAUCACUCUUAGCGGGGAAUGGCCACCAGAAUGGGAAAUUAAUACUGAUUAGGCAUGUGGUCCAGCCUGAUAAACCAAGUAAAGUGGCAAUCCGCUAUGAGGUGGGGCCGCGGAGCAUUAGCUAGUUGGUGAGGUAAUGGCCCACCAAGGCGACGAAGGGUAGCCGAAAUGAGAGGGUGAUCGGCCACAUUGGGGCUGGGACACGGCGCGGACUCCUACGGAAGGCAGCAAGGGGGAAUAUUGCACAAUGGGGGAGACCCUGAGGCAUCAACGCCGCGAAAGUGAUUUCGUCCGGCAGGAAGUAAAGCUCGGUAAUCAGGGACGGUAAUGACGGUACCUGAAGAGGAAGCCACGGCUAACUACGUG
RNAcentral lists this ribosomal RNA (464 nucleotides) under uncultured bacterium. Its description in RNAcentral is "partial 16S ribosomal RNA". It matches the Rfam family "Bacterial small subunit ribosomal RNA", at positions 28 to 507 of the family's 1533-position model. The record is from RNAcentral.